UACGUAGGUGGCAAGCGUUGUCCGGAUUUAUUGGGUUUAAAGGGUGCGUAGGCGGCCCUGUAAGUCAGUGGUGAAAUACUCCAGCUUAACUGGAGGGGUGCCAUUGAUACUGCAGGGCUUGAGUGGAGUCGAAGUAGGCGGAAUUGACGGUGUAGCGGUGAAAUGCUUAGAUAUCGUCAAGAACACCGAUAGUGAAGACAGUUUACUAGGCUUCUACUGACGCUGAGGCACGAAAGUGUGGGGAUCAAAC
RNAcentral lists this ribosomal RNA (250 nucleotides) under uncultured bacterium. Its description in RNAcentral is "partial 16S ribosomal RNA". It matches the Rfam family "Bacterial small subunit ribosomal RNA", at positions 524 to 773 of the family's 1533-position model. The record is from RNAcentral.